UAAUGAUUGAUAGUGUAGUGAGUGCGUGCUUCGUCAGAAUUUCGAAAAUUCUGAAAAUGUUCGCAUUUUCAUGCAGAAAAUUGCCGAUUCCCUUAUAGACAAGGUUGUGUUUUACCGUUUUGCAGUUUCUAGCAGCUGGAAAGUGCGAUUUCAGUUGUAAAACGUGAUUUUUUUAAAACGGUCUGACGUUUUACUGUCGGAACUGAACGUUUUGACUUUGAUGUGUCAAUUUUGAGGUUACAAAAAUAUGGAAGUUUUCUUCAGAGUUUUGCGGAAUUUACAAAUAUAUUAAUGGGCGUUUUGGUUGCGAAAAGAGCAGCUUCAUGAAGAAACGCAUUUAACAGUCACAAAAUUUUGGAGACCCGAGAGAUGUCCGAAAGACUAGCAUUUAAUGUAUGAGUUCUAUUAUUUAAGCAACUAGAAUAAAUGUCCGUCAUUAAAUCAUAA
Long non-coding RNA from Dendroctonus ponderosae (mountain pine beetle), 447 nucleotides. RefSeq lists it as uncharacterized. The transcript is spliced from 2 exons. NCBI's taxonomy places the organism in Eukaryota, Metazoa, Arthropoda, Insecta, Coleoptera, Curculionidae. The record is from RefSeq and is a predicted model, not a curated record.